RNAcentral lists this ribosomal RNA (1017 nucleotides) under uncultured bacterium. RNAcentral describes it as "bacterial SSU rRNA". It matches the Rfam family "Bacterial small subunit ribosomal RNA", at positions 355 to 1375 of the family's 1533-position model. The record is from RNAcentral.
UGAGGAAUAUUGGUCAAUGGGCGCGAGCCUGAACCAGCCAAGUAGCGUGAAGGAUGAAGGUCCUACGGAUUGUAAACUUCUUUUAUAAGGGAAUAAAGUCACCCACGUGUGGGUGUUUGUAUGUACCUUAUGAAUAAGCAUCGGCUAACUCCGUGCCAGCAGCCGCGGUAAUACGGAGGAUGCGAGCGUUAUCCGGAUUUAUUGGGUUUAAAGGGAGCGUAGACGGGUCGUUAAGUCAGCUGUGAAAGUUUGGGGCUCAACCUUAAAAUUGCAGUUGAUACUGGCGUCCUUGAGUACGGUUGAGGCAGGCGGAAUUCGUGGUGUAGCGGUGAAAUGCUUAGAUAUCACGAAGAACCCCGAUUGCGAAGGCAGCCUGCUAAACCGCCACUGACGUUGAGGCUCGAAAGUGUGGGUAUCAAACAGGAUUAGAUACCCUGGUAGUCCACACGGUAAACGAUGGAUACUCGCUGUUGGCGAUAGACUGUCAGCGGCUUAGCGAAAGCGUUAAGUAUCCCACCUGGGGAAUACGCCGGCAACGGUGAAACUCAAAGGAAUUGACGGGGGCCCGCACAAGCGGAGGAACAUGUGGUUUAAUUCGAUGAUACGCGAGGAACCUUACCCGGGCUUGAAUUGCAGACGAAUUGCUUGGAAACAGGCAAGCCGCAAGGCGUCUGUGAAGGUGCUGCAUGGUUGUCGUCAGCUCGUGCCGUGAGGUGUCGGCUUAAGUGCCAUAACGAGCGCAACCCUCGUGUCCAGUUACUAGCAGGUUAUGCUGAGGACUCUGGACAGACUGCCAUCGUAAGAUGUGAGGAAGGUGGGGAUGACGUCAAAUCAGCACGGCCCUUACGUCCGGGGCUACACACGUGUUACAAUGGGGGGUACAGCAGGCAGCUACCGGGCGACCGGAUGCCAAUCCCGAAAGCCUCUCUCAGUUCGGACUGGAGUCUGCAACCCGACUCCACGAAGCUGGAUUCGCUAGUAAUCGCGCAUCAGCCACGGCGCGGUGAAUACGUUCCC